GAGGGUACAGCUCAGUGGUAGAGCACAUGCUUAGCAUGCAUGAGGUCCUGGGUUCAAUCUCCAGUACCUCCA
This 72-nucleotide transfer RNA is filed under the name Camelus bactrianus (Bactrian camel). It matches the Rfam family "tRNA". From Rfam's summary of the family: Transfer RNA (tRNA) molecules are approximately 80 nucleotides in length. Their secondary structure includes four short double-helical elements and three loops (D, anti-codon, and T loops). The record is from Rfam by way of RNAcentral. RNAcentral also lists the same sequence under 2 other names. Lineage: Eukaryota; Metazoa; Chordata; Mammalia; Artiodactyla; Camelidae.